AAUUCUUGCUUCAUGAUUUUGGGCACGUGCUCUUCAUAAGGGUGUGGACAUUCUUGUUGCCACACCAGGACGUCUUGUUGACAUGGUUGAAAGAUCAAAACUCUCCUUUGAGGCAAUCCAAUACUUUAUAGUGGAUGACAUUGAGAGGGUGCUGGAUAUGGGUUUUGAGCUUAUGAUAAAAAAAAUAGUUGGAUUGGGUAUGCCGCAAAAGUCAGUGAGACAAACUAUGCUUUUCACUGGAAAGCUCAGACCAGAAUUACAGAGGGUGGCUUCAGACCUCUUGUCAGAUCACAUAGUUAUCACUAUUGGACGAGUGAUGCCUGCUGAACAUAUUCAACAGAAAGUUGUGCUUGUGUUAGAUUGGAAGAAAAACACCAAUUUGCUACAUCUGUUAGCUAAGGAGGUGCAGCGACCUCUAACAGUUAUUUUUGUGAAGACAUCUUUGGAGGCUGACUCCUUGAGCUGCUGGCUAUGCAAUGAAGGGUUCCCUGCCACAUGUUUUCAUGGUGACAGAACACAACAGCCAGUGACGCGGCGUCAUGGUGCCUAGAUGUCCAAAACAUCGGUCACGUGAUCAACUAUGAUUUACCCAAGAGAAUAGAAGGCUAUAUCCAAAGGAUUAGAAGAACUAAAAAGCAUGGGUUAGCCACGUCCUUCUUCACUGAAUCUGAUCAACCUUUAGCGGAUCACUUGGCAAAGCUGAUGAAUAGAAUGAAGCAAGAUGUUCCGGACUGGCUGGUGUGGAGUAUGCUCAUAAGUUGCAACCUAGGAAGUCGGAUCCUUAUUUUGAUUAUCUCGUGGACAAGUUUAUAAACGCAAUCGCUGCUGAUGUGAAAGCAAACUCAUCAUGUGAUGACAUCGAUUAUAAGACAGUUCAUAAACGUCAAACCAGUGAGUAUGCAAGGAGUGCACUGCUGCACUAUAACUGCGAAGGAGAGAAAAAGGUCAAGUAUGAACUAGUUGAAGCAAUUACUAGCUACGGAAUCAUGGACUCAGACGGCUUGUACGUGCAUGUAAAUUUCACUGCAAUGAACACCGAAAAUUCAGAGGUGGACUUCUUUUUCGCAGAGUUGCGUUGGGUUAGUGAUAAGGAGGCUUCUGUACCCACAUGUGUAGUUACGUUGGAAGAGAAACAAAGAGUUGGUGGGUUUGAUGGCACAGAUUGUAGCAAUUACAAGGAUGAGAUGGACUUCCGUGUUGACAUUCAACACUGCUAUGCUUGUGGAGCAGAUCUGAUGCACCCUAAGGAUGGAAAACUGUAUGAAAUUGGCCAUAUAUCAAUGAGCAAGAGUUAUGGUUACGAUCUUAGGUAGUUUAGGUGGUUUAGCAGUAUACAUCUUUGUUAUCUUAGUGGUGUAUCGUUGACAUUGCUAAAAGCAAAUUCACAGACAUUCUUUUUUUCUCUUACAACUCAUAUAUAUGACUGGUUCGCGGAAAUGCAAAUCUGAUCUUAGGUGCAUAUGCUCUCUUUAUCUAAAAAUAAAUUUUGAAUUGUUAAAAAGUUCA
Molecule: non-coding RNA, 1506 nt
Organism: Lolium perenne
Lineage: Eukaryota; Viridiplantae; Streptophyta; Magnoliopsida; Poales; Poaceae
Source: RefSeq, a predicted model, not a curated record